UGUAAAUCCUGCAUAGGGUAGACUAGUCGUUUUUGAAGAACCAAGUUUGUCAAACCGUCGGCAACAUCUAAUAUGUAACAAAGACUUGAUCCUACAAAAGACGCUCUACUUUCUAGAUAUUCAUCUGUCACAGCAUCAUCAUUUUUUUAUUCUUUCGUGCCGCGCGAUUAUCGAAAGGCGAGCUUCCAUCAAGUAUUUCGAGCAAGGUCGAAUCGAAGAACGAAGAAGAUACAUUUGAAUAUUUUAUUACAAGAGAG
Vespula vulgaris is the source of this 257-nucleotide long non-coding RNA. RefSeq lists it as uncharacterized. The record is from RefSeq and is a predicted model, not a curated record. The transcript is spliced from 3 exons. NCBI's taxonomy places the organism in Eukaryota, Metazoa, Arthropoda, Insecta, Hymenoptera, Vespidae.